This 558-nucleotide ribosomal RNA is filed under the name fungal yeast sp. Urf1683. RNAcentral's name for it is "eukaryotic LSU rRNA". It matches the Rfam family "Eukaryotic large subunit ribosomal RNA", at positions 36 to 599 of the family's 3401-position model. Lineage: Eukaryota; Fungi. The record is from RNAcentral.
UUGCAUAUCAAUAAGCUGAGGAAAAGAAACUAACAAGGAUUCCCCUAGUAGCGGCGAGCGAAGCGGGAAGAGCUCAAAUUUAUAAUCUGGCACCUUCGGUGUCCGAGUUGUAAUCUCUAGAAGUGUUUUCCGCGUUGGACCGCACACAAGUCUGUUGGAAUACAGCGGCAUAGUGGUGAAACCCCCGUAUAUGGUGCGGACGCCCAGCGCUUUGUGAUACACUUUCAAUGAGUCGAGUUGUUUGGGAAUGCAGCUCAAAUUGGGUGGUAAAUUCCAUCUAAAGCUAAAUAUUGGCGAGAGACCGAUAGCGAACAAGUACCGUGAGGGAAAGAUGAAAAGCACUUUGGAAAGAGAGUUAACAGUACGUGAAAUUGUUGGAAGGGAAACGCUUGAAGUCAGACUUGCUUGCCGGAGCUUGCUUCGGUUUGCAGGCCAGCAUCAGUUUUCCGGGGUGGAUAAUGACGGUUUGAAGGUAGCAGUCUCGGCUGUGUUAUAGCUUUCCGUUGGAUACAUCCUGGGGGACUGAGGAACGCAGCGUGCUUUUGCGAAAGACUCGUC